Molecule: ribosomal RNA, 700 nt
Filed under: uncultured fungus
Lineage: Eukaryota; Fungi
Description: eukaryotic LSU rRNA
Rfam family: Eukaryotic large subunit ribosomal RNA
Source: RNAcentral
ACGGCGAGUGAAGCGGCAACAGCUCAAAUUUGAAAUCUGGCGCAAGCCCGAGUUGUAAUUUGUAGAGGAUGCUUCUGGGCAGCGGCCGGUCUAAGUUCCUUGGAACAGGACGUCAUAGAGGGUGAGAAUCCCGUAUGCGACCGGUUGGCACCCGUCACGUAGCUCCUUCGACGAGUCGAGUUGUUUGGGAAUGCAGCUCUAAAUGGGAGGUAAAUGCCUUCUAAAGCUAAAUACCGGCUGGAGACCGAUAGCGCACAAGUAGAGUGAUCGAAAGAUGAAAAGCACUUUGGAAAGAGAGUUAAAAAGCACGUGAAAUUGUUGAAAGGGAAGCGCAUGCAACCAGACUUGUCGGCGGUGUUCCGCCGGUCUUCUGACCGGUCUACUCGCCGUCGACAGGCCAGCAUCAUCUGGGCGCGCCGGACAAAGGCGUCGGGAAUGUGGCUCCCUCGGGAGUGUUAUAGCCCGGCGUGUAAUACGGCGCCGCCCGGGUGAGGUCCGCGCUUCGGCUAGGAUGCUGGCGUAAUGGUUGUCUGCGACCCGUCUUGAAACACGGACCAAGGAGUCUAACAUCUGUGCGAGUGUUCGGGUGUCAAACCCCUACGCGUAAUGAAAGUGAACGGAGGUGGGAACCGCAAGGUGCACCAUCGACCGAUCCUGAUGUCCUCGGAUGGAUUUGAGUAAGAGCAUAGCUGUUGGGACC